GUGUAAAUGCAUCUUACGAAACCAUAUUAUUUUUUUUGGGUUGAUUAAAGUCAUGUUAUCCCUUACCAUUCAUAAUGAAGUUGCCUUUAGCCAAAAGUAAGACAUGUCAGGAUUGAGGAACUGGGUGGGGCAUCCAUGCAUUUCUUUUGACACCAUUUUCCAGUUCCUUUUCCAAAUUAGCUGCUGCUGCUUCAGCUACCUUGGGAAACUUUCUCAGGAGCGAUCGAGGCCAGUGAUUCGGAAUUUCAUUAGUUGAAGUUGGAUCCAAACAAACAAGCAGUCGAUUUGUGUUACAUAUCAGACUAAACCAAAUGAGCAAAAAUGAAAGGAAUUCAGAGAAGAUAUGAAUCACACAGCGACACGCGCCCCAGUAAUUAGCAACAAGCACUGACAUGGGAGUUUGGGACUGGCAUAAACUUCCAAACACUUAUCUUCGAUCACUUUCUUCUGUUACAAAAUUGUUAGGUUGGUCCCUCCUUAGUGGAGGUGAGAAACCAUGGGUUGAAUUACACACAAGGAAAGCAAGAAGAACUAUUGCUUUGGUGACCAUGUAAAAGGAAUGCUAGCUAUACGUGUAGCUAGGGUGGUGCAGCAAUUGUUGAAUGUUGAUGGAAGUAUGCAUUAGUUAGCAUGCCAACAUAGAGCAUGAAACAAGGAGGAAGCUUGACUUUGCUUCCAUGCAUGGUACGUGCACAAGGAGAAAUGCAUGAAGAGCUAUGCCUAUAUAAAGGUAUUAGACACAAGAACAAAGGCAUCUGAGCUUUUCAAGUUCAUGAUCAAGGGAUCCGAACUUGCUCCAGUUCGAGAUCAAGGCUAGGGCAGAGUCAUCCAAACUAGAGAAAGUUUGUGAGAGUAGUGAGAUCCUCACUUGAGAGAUUAGUGAGAAGAAAAUUCCGAGAGAGAGAGAGAGAGAGAGAGAGAGAGAGAGAGAGAGAGAGAGUGUGUGUCUACNNNNNNNNNNNNNNNNNNNNGAGAGAGAGAGAGGUGUGUUGCCACUUUAGUUAGUCUAGAGUGAGUGUUUUUUGUAAUCUCAUUAUUUAGUAUAGUGGAAGAAAGUAUUACUGAUGCCCCGAGGACGUAGACACAUUUGCCGAACCUCGUUAAAUAUUGUGUCUUCUUUUUGUUGUUAUUUCCGCAAAUCACACAAUGGGUGAAAAAAUCAGAUCCUGGGAUAACCGCAGCCACUUCUUAUCCAACAAUAGCUUUCGUUUGCAACACUUUGCUCUCUGUACAGGUAAUGCAUGACUGGUGGUAGAAAGUUUCUAAUGAUGCCAUCUCCAAUAAGGGAAACUAAUGAAACUGUGAAAGUUUACAAGAUCGUUCAUCUCAUAAUGUUUAAGGGAUAAUUCUGUAACCAUCUGAUUCAUAGACCAAGGUAGACCCAACAAAACAAAAGGUUGAAUCAUGUAUCUGCUACAUCAUCUGUGCCGAUGUUCGUCGCUCUGCUUGAAUGCCUUUUUGUUGCAGUAGUGGUAUGGGUGACCUAUUCGGAAGUUGGCCCAUUUCAGAAAGCCCACUGACCGACCGCAAGCUAUUAGAUGCAUUUUUGUUGCCGUGCCAGUAAUAAUGCAGCAUCUACGUUCGAGCCUCGACAUUCUCAAACUCGCUCAAAUUUGCACAUAAGUUCAGCUUUGGAGAUCGCUUUUGUUUGAUGGUUGUAUCGAUUUGAACUUCUCUAUAGAGAAGCUAAACAUAAUCACUAGGAAACACUGCCCGUGGGUUGCUCUUUCUUUCAGUUCGGAAGAUGGCCCAGAUUGCCUGUGAUAAGCCUCGAACCCAACAAUUUAUAGGAUGGACCAAGUUCUAGUGAGGAACCAAGGCCCAUGAAGCUCGACAACAAUUGAAUGUUGGCCCUCAAAAAUAUAAAUAGAAGAUUUGUGGAUUGUAUUGUAAAUUUGUAAUGGUAGAAUAAUUGUUGGAAGAUUGAAGUCUAAAUAAAUAGAACAAGGUUUUAGAUUUCUUUUGUUGGCGGUGGUACUGGUAAUAAUGCAGCAUCUAAGUUUUAUAUGUGCACUGAAAAACUUGGUCUCGGUCGGCCAAUUCACAUGGAUCCACAUGCUUGCCAUGGGAACCUACUUUUGCUUAGCGUAAUUCUCAUAUGUCUACAAUGUAUUAGCAAACAGAAAUUACGGAAUUGAGAGGUUAGGGUUUAGGGUAGAGUGUUCCCUAAUAAUCAUGUGCAGUUUGAAUGUCGUAUUAGAGGUUUCACUUGUGGAUGUUUUUUGGUGUUGUGUAGGUAUGAACGUCUUUUGAGACACUGUCGUGAGUUUAUAAUGAUCAAUAAUUGAGGCAUGCCUUGCCCCUGUGAACCUGAUGCAAUGCAGUUUCAUACUCCACAGCAGCGCCGGAUACAACAACCGCUUUUGCUUUCCUUACGACGGUGUUUAGGGCAAACAACCAACUUACUCUAAUCGCACCUCCCAUAUGUCUUCCUUGGCUACGUUAUUCCCUAAUGAAAACCUCUUUGUGCAUAUAAGAGAGAUGUUGACCUUCCCAUAUCCAACCAAAAUCGGAGUUCGUAAGGGGAGAGAGGAUGAGUGUGAUAUCCCACAUCAUCGGGGGAAGGGGAUGUGAAAUGCCUUAUAUGUGAAAAGACACCUCCCAAUAGCAAGACGUGUUUCUGGUUGGAAAUACAAGAAUAAAAUCGUGCGGGUAAAACCUAAAGCGGAUUACAACUCGUUAUGCAUGUUAGACACUUACAAGUGAUAUCAGAGUCGCUCUCAACCGGAAAUGUGCUAACAAGGACGUCGGGCCUUCAAGAGGGGUGAGAUGUGAGACCGGCGUCUUAGCUUGAGAAGUCAAUAACAAAACCUUAAAGGACCUAAAUGACUUAAAAUUAAGUGAUUUUUUUUUUAAUCAAAUACACAAUUAUGUAUUACAAUAUUGUGAGUCGAACUCACGUCUCUCACUUACAAAGAGAGAUCAUAAUUAAGUGAUUUUAUCGUGAAUUUAUAUAAGAGUCUCGUGAUUUUCUUUUAAUUUUGUAUCUAUAAAUCAGACGAGAUAUUUUGUUUGUGAAAAUUUGAAAAUAAUAGAAAGAGGUUGAUUUUGUUCGGCAUGGUGUGAUCGCGGUGCCAACUGUGAUUUGCCUGUCAGUUAAUUCGUUCCUCGCUGUUUCGUCUACCCACCAUCCCUCAGACUUAACCCUUCAUCAUCUUCAUUCCUCUCCAUCUCAGUAAGGUAUUACUCUCUCUCUCUCUCNNNNNNNNNNNNNNNNNNNNNNNNNNNNNNNNNNNNNNNNNNNNNNNNNNNNNNNNNNNNNNNNNNNNNNNNNNNNNNNNNNNNNNNNNNNNNNNNNNNNNNNNNCUCUCUCUCUCUCUCUCUCUCUCUCUCUCUCUCUCUCUCACAGUAGCAGCAGCAGCUGCUAAUAUAGCUGCUAAUAUCUCUUUCCUCCAUUAAAGUCACAUCCUCAAACUCCCCCAAGGUCCCCAAACUCCAAUCGAAAGCAACCCUUGAAUACACACACACAUCUCAGCCCAACACAAAAAUGCACGCCAAGACCGACUCCGAGGUCACAAGCCUCGCCCCUUCUUCCCCAACCCGAUCCCCCCGCCGCCCAGUCUACUACGUCCAGAGCCCCUCCCGCGACUCCCACGACGGCGAGAAGACCACCACCUCCUUCCAGUCCACCCCCGUCCUCAGCCCCGCCGGCUCUCCUCCCCACUCCCACUCCUCCGUCGGCCGCCACUCCCGCGACUCCUCCUCCACCCGCUUCUCCGGCUCCAUCAAGCCCGGAUCCAAGAAGAUCCAGCCCAACAACGACUCCUCCCGCCACCACCGCAAGGACGGCCACAAGGCCUGGAAGGACUGCGCCGUCAUCGAAGAAGAAGGCCUCCUCGACGACGACGACCGCGAACGUGGCUUCCCCCGCCGAUGCUAUUUCCCCGCCUUCGUUCUCGGAUUCUUCCUCCUCUUCUCCAUGUUCUCUCUCAUUCUCUACGGCGCCAGUAAGCCCAUGAAGCCCAAGAUCACCAUGAAGGUUCGUCAUCUUAUCCACACUCAUCCAUUUACAGCAAUUCAGCUGAUACUAGCGUAUUAAUUUUCUCUAAUUUUGAUCGCUGCAGAGUGUCAAGUUUGAACAGUUCAAGAUCCAAGCGGGUUCAGACUCCACCGGAGUAAGCACCGACAUGAUCUCCGUCAACUCCACCGUCAAAUUCACAUUCCGCAACACCGGCACGUUUUUCGGAGUCCACGUCUCGCCCGAGCCUCUAGAUCUAUCCUACUCUCAGAUCGCCAUCGCCUCCGGAAUCGUAAGCAUCAACACAAAUGUCCCCAUUCUCUUUUCAUUUCCAAAUCACAUUGCCAAUCUCCGUCUUAAUCUAUGGUUUAUUAUUAUUUUUAAUUCAGGUGAAGAAGUUCUAUCAAUCAAGGAGGAGCCAGAGAACAGUGACGGUGUCAGUAAUCGGCGACAAAAUUCCGUUAUACGGGAGUGGAGCUAGUAUAAGUAGCUCAACGGGGACGACAUUGCUGCCGGUGCCGCUGAAAUUGGAUUUCUUGAUCAAAUCUAGAGCCUACGUUUUGGGUAAACUAGUGAAGCCCAAGUUCAACCGGCGCGUGGGAUGCACUGUAACUUUCGAUCCUAAGAAGCUCAACGUCGCAAUCGCGCUCAAGAAUUGCACUUACAGUUAAUUAAUUCACAAAAAGAAUGAGGAAGAAGAAGAGAGGUUUCUAUUUUAAUCGUGGUUGGUUUCCUUUUCGGUGAUGGACAACUCAGCGGGCAGCUUUCGGAGUUGGACGGGCAGGAUGUGCAGAGAGUGAGGUAAAAAACGCGGUUUUGGACUUUUUGGGCUGCCCGAAGAGUGUAGAGUCGGUGACUUGUGGGUAUUGUGUUACAUUAUUCACCUUGUCUUUUGUUUAUUUAUUCUUUUUUUUCUUUUUCCCCGUUGUAUUAUUAAGAAAUUAUUUAUUUUCAGGCAAUAAUGCAACUGUGUUUACUUUUUGGUUCGGUAUUUGGGGGGGGGGGGGGNNNNNNNNNNNNNNNNNNNNNNNNNNNNNNNNNNNNNNNNNNNNNNNNNNNNNNNNNNNNNNNNNNNNNNNNNNNNNNNNNNNNNNNNNNNNNNNNNNNNNNNNNNNNNNNNNNNNNNNNNNNNNNNNNNNNNNNNNNNNNNNNNNNNNNNNNNNNNNNNNNNNNNNNNNNNNNNNNNNNNNNNNNNNNNNNNNNNNNNNNNNNNNNNNNNNNNNNNNNNNNNNNNNNNNNNNNNNNNNNNNNNNNNNNNNNNNNNNNNNNNNNNNNNNNNNNNNNNNNNNNNNNNNNNNNNNNNNNNNNNNNNNNNNNGAUAUAUGAAGUUGAGGAAGCAUUUCUAGUGAGAACUUUUAAGUUAAGGAUUUUUCUGUUAUGGUUUAAAAGACUCAUUUGUCGAUCACAUUUUGACAUCUCAUCCUUUCAGUUUUUAUGUUUAUAUGAGUAGAUCAUUUUUACAAAUUUUCAGCCAAAUUGAUGUUCGUUAAGAUAACAAACUAGAUCAAAUUAAUAGCCGAAUUAAAUAUGUCAAAUAUGAACUGUUCAAGUUCAUAAUUGAUAAAUCAUACUUAUGAAUGUCUUUCUAGUGAGGACUCUUAAGUUGAGGACUUUUCGGUUAUGGUUUAAAAGACUCAUUUGUCGAUCACAUUUUGACAUCUCAUUCGUUCAGUUUUUAGGUUUAUAUGAGUAGAUCAUUUUUACAAAUUUUCAGCCAAAUUAGUGUUCGUUAAGAUAACAAACUAGAUCAAAUUAAUAGACGAAUUAAAUCUGUCAAAUAUGAACCGUUCAAGUUCAUAAUUGAUAAAUCACACUUAUGAAUGUCUUAAUAUGAAUGCCUUAACAAUUUUCAAUAUAGCUGAAAAUUUGGAGAAAUGAUCUACUCAUAAAUACCUAUAAACUGAACAGUCAAGAUGUGGAUAUAAGAUCGAAAGGUGGGAUAAGCCGAAAAGUCCUCACCAAGUCCUCAAGUUAAGGGUCCUCACUAAAAGGGCUCCAUGAAGUUGAUAUUGUGUUUUCAGGUUAUAUAUAUUGUUUGUCAUGAGCAAAUGAUGUUAUUUUGACCAAUUUAGUUAGAUUUUAGGCACAUCAAUAGUUGUUGUUUCGUUCGCUCUUUUAUCUGAAAGAGUUCAUAGUAAACAUAAACAAAACCGGUUCAACUAAAGAUGCGUGUAGGUUAGGGAUAAAGUUUCUGACACCAUCUCUAUUGUAAUUUCUCUUAUUUGCGAGAAUCACGCCCAAAUUUUCACCAAAAGUACGAGAGUUGGUUUCAACAUCGCGACAAAAUGUUGAAUAGCUAUCACAUUGUGAUUUGUUGAAGAAGAUAAAACAUACAAGGAUGCGAAAUGAAAUAUUUCUUUAGUUCAUUUCCCUAAGAAUGGAUGGACAUUUGGAUUGAAUGUGAGAAUUGAAUGAGAAAUUAAUAAAGGCUAUAAAUGGAGGGUGUUCUUUUAACACACCAUUUAUUGUUAUUCACACACCCUUCGUAAUUUUGUUUUUAUUUUAAUACAAUUAUAUCUAUAAUCUACCUAAACUACCCUCCUGGGUCACCCCAAAUCCUUUCCAUCACCAAAUCCAUCUAAAACGCUCAUGUCCCAUUCCAACGCGCACAUAUCUGGUCCUUUCCCAUUUUAGCAAAUUUGAUAAUACAGAUCUGGUUUUUUCUAUCGUACUCUGCCACCACAUUUUUGGAUAGGGAAUCCGAGAAUCAGGAAAAUGUAUGGUCGGUUUUACUACAUUCUGAUGCUAGACUCACCGCUCACCUGCCAACUAUCUCAUUGGAUUCUCUGUACAACUCGUUGGAGGAAUUUGGGUCGAUCUGAUGAGAACGGCUUGUGUGUUUUGAGGAAUUAGUUUAAUUAGUUUUGGAUGAUUGAGAUGGACGUGGGUUUGAGUUUGGGGGCAGGUCUGAGACAUGAGUUAAGGUUAGGAAGGGAAAGAGGAGGUGUUUUAAGGUUCGUGGAGAAUUCCAGGCCGCUGGAGAUGGAGUAUUGGAUGACGAAUAUGGCGUCCAUGGAAUCUGGUGAGUUAUUGAAGAGAGAAUGAUAGUUGGGGCACAUUGUAAAUAUAAUUAUAUUAAAAUAAAAACAAAAUUCUAAAAAAUAUGUGAAUAACAAUAAAUAAUGUGUUAAUAGCAUCACCCAAACAUCAUUCAAUAUAGCUCUCCUUUUGAAUUUGGAUCAUGGUUCAGUGUCCACACCCAGGUUGAGGAUUGAGGGAUCCCAAAUCAGCCCGCCGCAAAAAUCAAACCACCGAAGGUCCUCGAAGUUAAUUUGGCAAAAGUACAAGGACCAUUCAGCAAAAAUAUGCGAAUCUUUCACGGCCAGCUCGCUGUGCUUAUGACACAACAAGUAAUCUCUCCUCGCUCUUUCUCUCUCUACAGUUUCAGACUCUCUCCUUCUUCGUCACCACCUUGUGGAGUUUAGCUAUGGCUCUUCCCCAACACCACUUUCAACAACACUACCAGCCCCAACAACAGCAACAGCAACAGCAACAGCAACAGCAAACGCAAUCCAAGUCAUUCAGGUAAAAUCAAUUGGUUCUCUUCCUUCGAUUUCAUCUCACAAUUUCAGUUUCACACAUUUUGAAUUUUUUUUUCUUUUUCAUUUCUGCUGCUAGAAAUUUGUACGCGAUCGACGGUCAGAUGUCGCCGGCGGUGGCCUACUUCGACCCCAACGCCUUGCAAGAUCACUCCCAGCACCCGCCUUCGCCUUAUGUUCCCCCCUGUAAUUUUCUCUCUCCUCCUUUUUCUUUUAUGGCUCUGUUUGGUUCCAUGAAACCCUAAUUCGAAAUUCAAUUUCGUUACACCCAAUGUUCUAUACUCCAAUCUAACUUGUGAGCAAAAUUGUCAUUUUCUUGAAGAAUUAAGCAUUGGAAAAUGCAAGGCUGAAGUAAUUGAUAUUUUCUCUUUUCAUGAUCAAAACCUAAUUUUUGAGCUUGAUAUGAUCUGAAAUCAGUGGUGUGUGUUUGUAGUUCAUGUAGUAGGGUUUGCACCGGGUCCGGUGGCUGCAACAGACGGCAGUGACAAUGGUGCUGAUUUUCAGUGGAACUAUGGCUUAGAAUCCAAGAGGAAAAAGCUCAAGGAGCAGGAUUUCUUGGAGAACAACUCGCAGAUGUCGUCGGUUUUGCAGCAGCAAUCAGUCUCGACAGGCUUGGGUCUGUCCCUUGACAAUAAUCGCAUGGCGUCUACAGGGGAUUCAGCUUUGCUGUCUCUCAUUGGCGAGGAUAUUGAUCUUGAGAUACAGCGGCAGGAUUCUGAAAUUGAUAGGUUCCUCAAAGACCAGGUCUGUUUUUUUUUUUUUUCUGGAAAUAGUUUUUAUGAUGUUGCGUGGUUGAAUAUAUUGCAUGAACUGUGUUGGAUGGUUGCGUGAGAUUUGUAAGUUCGUAUUUAUAUGUGCAUGGUUUCUUAAUCUGCUGGUAGUAAUUGGUCUUACGAGUGUGUCUGUUUGUUUUUGUUGUGGUCGUAACAUGGUAUUAUGUCUUUGGUUUUCUGGUUAUGGCAAUGGCUGUCGUUUCUAUCUUAAUUUCAUCGGUGUGCAAUUAUUGAUAGUUAUUGUGCGAUCGGUUGCCACGUAUGCUGUCGGCAUCUCAACCCUGUAACCGGUUAACUUAUAUUUCAAAAAUGCUCAAACCAUACCAUUACAUUGAAUGAGUUAGAUGUGGAUUGCCUAAAGUGAAAUGAUUAUUGAGUCUCUUAAUAUAUUUUAACAAGGUGUAUCCUUGUCAACUGUAGUAAGCAAUGUUCUAGAAUUUGUCAUUAGGGUAGUCUCUUAAUAUAUUUUAACAAGAUGCACUGAGAAAAUUAUCACCUCGCCAAAAGACAUAUGACUGGCUUACGUUACGGAUAAGUAUUAUUGAUAUCUAUAACCGAAGAACGUACCAUAAAUGAUGUUCCAUUUGUAAACUUAUGUCUCAUCUUCUCAUUGUCUCCAACCACGAUUAGACAAUUGUAAUUCUUCCUCUUCACCAAUAUGGGAGACUCAGAUGCCAAAUCAAACAAAUAGUUAUUUUUUUCCUUAAUAUAGGAACUAUUCCACUUUCAUAGAGAAUUGUUGUAUUUUUGGUUUAUUGAACUUGAAGAUGCUUUCUAGAGUAAUAUGCAGAUUUGAAGUGGUGGUCAUUCAAAGGUUUGGGGAGGGAGAAUUUAGGUGAAUAUGGGAGGUAGAGCAUGUAAUGGUCUGCAAAAAUGUUUGGUUCGGAUGUUUAUGGUAUAUUCUGUCCUCUUUGUUUGUUAAACUUCUUGUUGAAGAUCUUAUCUGUAUCGCUAAUGUCUGUUGCUACAAUGUCAUUUUUUAGGAUCAUUCUGGAGUCAUGUCAUGAGCGUCACUAUGCUGUACUAUUGUAGCAAUUGUAGUAGAUAACCCAACCAGUUAAGAUAUAGGUGGACAGUUACUUAUGUCCCAUUAAUAGAGUAAUGGAAACUAGAAUCGCUCCUUUCAGUAAUUCUAGUUAAAAUGAAUAUUUAUCAGAAUUCUUUCUGGGUUUUCUCUGUUGACCAUGGCUGGCUUGUUGAACUUUCUGUCGCCCACAUUGUUUUCUGGCAGUUUUGUUUUGUCUGCAAUUUUUCGAGACUAGCAAUAUUUCUAUAGUUAUAAUGCAACUUAUCAAACCAACUCUAAUGUUCACUUCUUAUCUAGAGUGAUCGUUUGCGACAAAAUAUCCUGGACAAGGUCCAAGCUGCCCAACUUCAAACUCUCUCAGUUGUAGAAGAAAAGGUACUCCAGAAACUCCGGGAAAAAGAAGCAGAAGUGGAAAGCAUCAACAAGAAGAAUAUGGAGCUUGAAAAACGAAUGAAUCAGUUGGAUCUUGAAGCCAGGAUUUGGCAACAUCAAGCCAGCAACAAUGAACACAUGAUCGCAGCUCUCAAGGAUAAUCUUGAUCAAGUAAUUGCUCAAAGUAGAGACAGCAAAGAAGGAUGUGGUGACAGUGAAAUAGAUGAUACAGCUUCCUGCUGCAAUGGCCGUUCCAUCAAUUUCAAUAUGUUCGGCAAGCAGAGCAAUGAUAUGAAAGAGGUGAUGACGUGCAAGGCCUGCAGAAUGAAUGAAGUGUGCAUGCUUCUAUUACCUUGUAAGCAUCUUUGCCUGUGUAAAGACUGCGAAAGUAAGCUCAGCGUUUGUCCUCUGUGUCAGUCCUCUAAGUUUAUCGGCAUGGAAGUAUUUUAUUAAUGUUACUCAGUUCAUGUGAAGUUGUAAUCUUAUGUACUCACAGGCAUUGUUGUUAUAAUCUGGUCAUUACUUGCUUGAAUAGCAUCCCAAUACAGUCGAUUCAAGUAAAGAAUUGCAUUGACUUUAGCCUUAUGUGAAUAUGAGCAUUUGUCUCCAAUUUUGUAUCUUGAAAUUCCUGUACUUGUAUGUUUCUAUAUGAAGUCCGAAAUGCUUUGUUUUGUUUUGGCUCGUAAUCAGACGAAACCUCCAAAAGAGAGGCUCCGUUUGAGGCUUGAUCAAUUGGAAUGUGUCGUAACUUCUAAGCAUUCUCUAUAAAUGGUGAGCUUAAUGUAUAGGGGAAUUCCAACAUAAAAUAUAUUGCUAUGUCUUAUAUGUCACAACAUACAUUACACGGAUGACUCAAGGUACCUCCGAAUUUGCCAGACCAUGUAAACUUUCAUUUCAAUUUAAAUAGUCAGUUUUUAAUCUCAUCAUUGAUGGAACCAUGAUACUUAAAAGUUUUGUAUUGAAGUGUUGUUUUUGUAUGAGACUACUUGGCAAAAGAAUGAAGAUGCAAACCAUACUUGAAUGAAAAAUCAUUAGGUAUGGUUGUCCCUAUCACGUGGUGAUGUGACAGAUCAAUAGAAAUGCAACAAACUUUGACAUAGUUACUCUCUUUUUUUGGUUCCGUUAUUGUUUGGUUUUAGGUUUGAGGAAGAAACAGACUCCACAACCACCAUCACCGCCAUACUAGCUUUCGAACCCGGCCAGCUCGUGAGAAAAGCGGACGCCUUAACCACAAAGCUAACGGAAAACCAAUAGUUACUCUCUUUUUUAAAUAUAAAAUACCCAUGAUACGCAUUCUAUGUGUUUUUAUUGGUCAGACUUACCGUCAUGUGAUACACUUGUCCUAAGUAAGAAUCUUUAGGGUGAGAAUUGUAGAGUUCGACAUGCGGCACCGUUAGUAGUAGACACAUGGGCUGAUGGACCCAAAACAACUGGACUGGCCUGCUAUACAACAUUAAAGGCCCGCCGUUUACUAUGAGAGUAGCGGGUAUAUAGAUCUUGUGACUUGUCUUGCAGCUGGACUGGGCUGCUACUAGACUGCAGGUGAACAAGCUACAAGAAGAAAAUAAGAGAUGGGCUACUGUCGUCAUUUGAAACAAGCUCGACUUUGUUGCCUUUUCGACUAUAUGGAAAGAGGUCGAACUAGUAACUCGAUCAGAGUCAUCCUAACCUAGUUCGUGAAUCGCCACAUCCUCAUCACCAACCUAAUUAAGUUACCAAGGCAAGUGAUACUGAAACAAUAGGAGGAUAUAUAAGCUUCAUCGUGGAGAGGGAAACAGCUCGGAUCACUAGCGUCGACUAUGAGGUGAUCCAAGAGAAUAAAGAGCUCAGAUCAUUAGCUUGAGUAGCUUCGAAAAUGAAGUGAUCCAGUCGCACCUUCCAGUCCGAUCAUGAUUUUCCUACCCGCAUAGGGAAAGGUCCUUAUGUGUUCUUCCCUUGUUAAUCUCUCCACACUACGAUUCUUUGAUUAUGCGUAGGUUCACAUAGACACAUACAUUCUCGCGUUGUGUUUACAAAGUAUUAUGAAUCUUUAAUAUUCAUCAGAUUUUGAAUAGUUGAGCGAAAGCCAAUUAGCUAACCCUGAACCCCCAAUGUUAUUUAAUAAUAUAUCAAUGUCAACAGUAAUAUAAAGUUGAGCUUAUUUUCUUCAUCAUGGUAUGAAUCUUGGGGAGGAAGCUUAUGAUUUUGAACCUAUUGGAAGGUGUGGUGUUGCAGAAAAGUAGGAGGGAAUUGGGAGUUUUAAGUAGCUUUAGUUUGAGGGAUUAGAAUUAGAGGGAGAGAAAGAUUGAACAAAACUUUUAUCUAAUCAUGCCCUAGAAAGUGAUGACAAAGAAGAAAGUGAAUAUGCUUACCCCAUGAAUCCAUGAUUGUAAACUAUAAAUCUAAGCUAGCUCUAUAAUUAUUAUCACGACUAUUAUCGAUCAUUAUGAAUCCCACCUCCACUUCCACCACCGCAAACCCCAUAGCCGAACUCGAUCAGGUCCUGUCAAACUCAUAUACUCGAUCAUCAUAUAUUCAUCACUUUACCUUUUCUUUCCUAAAUUCUAAAAACCCUCAUGAAAUCUUUAACAUUUGGAUCCACUAGCUACUGAAUUAUUAUAUGAAUUUCAAAUAUUGAGGAAAGAUUGGAACUCACUUUGGUUCAGGCUCAAUCAUUCUGAAAACUCCUCCUUAUUCCCUAUAAAGCUGUGCAGGUUUCAUUUUUUCUGAGCUUCACUUUCUUUCCUUUUUUUUUUUUCUUUUUUUUUUUCUUGUUUCCAUUGUAGGGACUCUGCCCAGCCUUUUCAUGGCUUCAUUCCACUUUGUACCUCCUUGCCUUCUUUUCACCAGACGUUCGUAUGUUAGUGAAAGUAUAUUUAGGGCUCCAACUCAUUAUUCUCUCUCACUGUCAAAAGUUAUUCCAUAUCCCAUUUUAAUUCUAAAGUGAACAAAUGAGCUUUUGUGAUCUGAUAGCCAUGCUUCCUGCCUUCUUUCAGGGUUUCUGUUUUUCAGUAGCUUUAUCUUUUAAGUCUGGUUUGAUUAGUGGUGUCGAUGUAUGUAAAUAUUGAGUUUAUUUACUCUCAUUGACGUGGGAAAAUAAUAAUAAUUUGGCAUAGUCUCUCUUGCAAUUUGCAGCAAACUCAUAAAUAAGAAGUGAAGUACUUGUGAAGAAUGAAGAUCAACUAAAAGCCUAACAAUGAUUUCAUUUCAUUGUUAGUAAAUUACUACUACUGCUAUAUAUGAAAGUUAACCACUUGCAUACCACCAUGAAAACUGCAUUAUUUUACAGAUUCUAAUCUAGAAUGUCUUGGAGUUUUACCAUUUCAAUAUCCGCCAAACCACUGCCUAGUAAUUUGGUGAUUAUUACACAAUGAAAAACAAUUGGUGUGGAGUAGUGCAGGCUUCGCAGAUCUCUAUAGUGCGUAUAAAGAAACACUAAUUAAGUAGCUUCCAUCUCCAACUUGUUGAAUCGAUCAUGCAACAUAUAUAUGCAUGUCUAUAAGAUCCGGGAUCAAUAAUAUAAGGCCCCCCACCAGAAACUAAAGUUAUUCUAUUUUCUGUUGCGGAAAAGAAAAAGACAUUGUCUAAUUCGAGAGGUCAUGCAUCCAAAAUAGAACACUUUACAGUUCAAAGCUCCACAACCAUUUACAUUAGAUGUUGAACCUUAAUUGUCUCAUAUAUUUGUACUCAUCCCAUGCUCCUUGGAACGAUAUGACCUUAGAUUUAGUGUAAAUUAAUAAAAUCCAAAAUUUGGAAGUGUCACGUAGCUAGGGCAUGGGAACAACUCGUUGAUUGUUCAAAAUGCUAUUGUUUUGGGGAAGUUUUGGUUCGACUUUUUGCAACAGUAGCAAGCUACCAAGUGAUAGUAUAUAUGGUGGUGGUCCUAGAGAUUUUAUUGGCAACCAAGCCACCUUAACUUGACGUCCUUGUCCAUAACCUAUUCAGAACUUAACUUAGAAGGAGAAGCUCCUAGCUAGGGCUCCUUCCACAAAACAAAUAUUGAUCUCAUCGAAGCGUCUAAAGGCUAAUGCACGUCUUCUUCUAUUCAAUGCCUCGGACUUGAAUUAUUAAGUAAUUAGACUCAUAGUGGAUGUUGUUGGAUCGACUUUGUUUGGUACUGGAAAAUAGUGAGAAACUUAAAUCUUGAUGUUUCUGAAUCCCUAGACUUAAGUGAAAGCAAUUCAAACAACAAAAUGAGUGGGAUUGGUUUCUUUUAUGAUGACAAUGAGGAUUUGACAGGACAUAAUAUAUGAAAGUGAGUACAUGCAAUAUAUAUAUGUAACAGAUAUGUGUAAAAGGUCAUAUGCGCGAAUUAUUCAUUUUCAAAGCGAAUGAACCUUAACUAACAUUCCUCUGCUUGAUCAGCUAGUCAAUUUUCUGCUUCAGUUGAAUGAUUUUGCACCAGAUCACCUGGAAGCUUUAUUGUUUGGCAUGAUUGAGCAGCCAAAAAAGGGUUUCUUCAGUGGAUAAUUAGGUGGCAGAUAUCACACGAAUUUUUCUUCGUAUUAAUUUGUACGUAGUAUAUACAGAAAGAAGAACAUAAUUAACAACCAAAAACGAGAAAAUUGUGGAUGCAGUAGAACCAGUCGGGAUCAACCGCAACACUAAUGCAAAUGAUUUUCUUAUAACUUGACAAUAAUAAACCAAUCAAAUAUCAAUUAAUUAGUAGUUUUCACCGAAAAUCGAUGAAACAUUUCUAAUUCUAAAUGAUGCAGCAUUGUUGGCUGUCUCAAAAGAAAUGGCACUUUAAUCUAUAGCUACUUUGGCUUUGCAACUAUCUCUUGCAACUAAUGGAUUUUUAUCAGAUAGCAGAUAGAGCUGUGUGUGGACUGUGAGUGUGAGGUGGGUCUUCUUCAAGGAUACCUAUCUAGCUCUCUGUAUAUAUGCAUGAAAUGAUGGCAAUGAAGAUGAUGGAGGGUCCCGAUCAGCUUUCAUCAUCAUCAUCAUCUCACAGAAUCCCUUGGAUUGAGGAAGAAGAACCUGAAACAUGUAGCAGUAUUAAGCAAUCGAUUAAGCUCUAAUGGAAUUUGCAGCAGCCUUGAGCCGUGGGACCUUUUUUCUUCUGUCUUUAACAUUCAUCAGCCACAGUUUAAAAAGAAGAGAAGAGAAGAGAAGGAAUGUGAUGUGCAUGUGAGCCAACAGCUUUUAUGUUCCCCCCCAAUAUAUAUGUGUCCUUUACAUGAUCGAUCAUCUUCUAAAUUUUCUGAUUAAAACCAACCCAGAAAAUUGUCUUCUUUUGACAUUCGAUGAGUCACACUUUUUCGGGUUAAUUAUGUUUAAGUCAUAGAUAUAGAUUUGCAUGUCUUCUAACUUGUAUCUAAUUUAGGGUCCCAGGAUUAGAAGACAUGCGAGCUAAGGGUCGGCCAUGGUCGGUAUUCGAAUAAUUGCACCGACUAAAAGUAUGUUAUUAGUGGAAUCUCAGGCCCCAAUAUCAUAUCAUACAACUAUAUUAUGGAUCGAAGGAUGAUCAUGAUCAAUGUCUAAUCUCCUUUACAUUCGAAUUCUACCAGUACAUCCAUGCAAGUAGAAUAUACUUGGUAUGAAGUAGUAAAGUCGCUCUCACACGUUUAUAGAAGGAUCUCAUCGAUCUCUUUACAACGUAGAAGAUGAAGGAAUGGCUUUAGGACUUUAACAAAGGAAGGAAGGAAUCAGAAAAGGGAAAGGAGGUGAAAUUUUAAAGGAAAAGAUUGUAGUGGAGGAAUUGGAAGACAAGUCUUUGUUCUUCUCUCCUUUUAACGUAAUUUUCUACAAAGUGAGUUAAAAUUAACUUUUUUUCUUCAUUGGAAAGAAAAAUAGAUUGAUCGAGGCCAUGCAAGCCUAGCUACAUGCAUUAUUUUUUGGUUUUUGAUGACGACCCUUUGGACCUUAGAUUGCUCUCUUAGUCUUUGAGAAGCUAGAAGCUGCUUUAUAAACGUCUUUUUUGAAUGAAAUUUCAUGAACUUUUGCAUGGAAACUAAAUAUUACAUUAUCUUAACCUGUUAUAAUUUCAUAUACAGUGCCUUUCUCACCCAAAUUCGAACAUCAAGAUAUCAAAACCAUGUUAAUGUAUUUUCUUUAUGUAAAGUCAGUACCACCUAAAGUGUUAACAAGCUUUAGGAAACUUGGCUAUAAAGAAGAUAAGAACGAUUUGCUUUAGUAAUCCUAACUUCAUAGAUACUAAUAAUUCAUUCACAGUCGGAUACUGCCAAUUAAUAAGUUAAUUCUCGAUACUGAGCUUUCCAUAUUUCCUAAUCCGGGGAGAACUACUUUCACCCUCCCUAAUCAAAAUUUUCACCUCUCAGAUCGAGGUAAAUUCUUUCUGUAAUAAUUCCAAACACUAGCUUCUCAUUUCAUGCAUGCACUUAUGGAAGUGGGAUGCUCUGUGUGAUUGAAGAAGAUAGAAGGAUCGAAGAAGCCCUAGCCUGUGAAAGAUCGAUAUAUAUAGAAACGUCAGUUUCAUGUAUUAACAACACAAUGGACAAAGAACCUGGGUGCAUUAAUAUUUUUGUAGUUUAAAGAUAAACGGGUUUCUUGUCUGAUGCUCAAUGCAUGCCCAUUUGCUCGUGCUCAGGAUCCAUAUAUAUGUAGAAAUAUAUGAUCCCCUCGUGAUCUUUUUGAAUUUAGUUGUUUCUUUGUCUAAAAUCUUAGAAGAAAAAUAAGCACCUGCAGGAUUCGAAACCUAAUAUUAUCUUUGUUUGACCCAAUUCAAACCUCUCCAUCCAUCGAUCACUUGUGUGCCCACAAGGACCAUCGAUUCAUUUAUAUUGUUUAUGGUUAUUGUUACUGAUACGAUCCAGUUUCAUUGAACACAGAACACAUAUAUUCGAUUGGAGCAACAAUAAUAAAAAUGGUUAAUAGGGUUUUGUGUUGCAGGGAAGAAGUUCGUAAAACAGACAAAAGAGAGUGCGAGAGAAGAGACAAACAGAAGAAAAAGAAAAAGAACCUUGUAAUAGCUCUGUAGUAUGGAAAUAGAAUACAGAAUUUGAUUCUUUCAGAUUUAGAAAGAAGGAAGAUCGAGCUUAUGAGCUAGUGUGUAUGUCUGUCUCUAUGGUUUGGUUAUAUAUAACUAAUUAAACUGUACUAUUACCCAUAAAACACCCCAUUUUAAAUACGGGGUUUUAUCCGUAUUCGCUCUGCGGUUUAAGUUGUCUUUCCUUGAAAUUCUCAUUCCCAGGCAGUAUAAUAAGCUGGUUUAAGAAGAAGAAAAAAUGACAAAAAGCUUGGUUUCGAUCUGUAGAAAUAAUUUAUAAGUUUUUGGAAGCUAGGUAUCGGCGUUGGUCAUGUGAGAGAGGAGGUGGGGUUUUGGUUUCACUUUUGCUGCGUUUUAGAAAUUGGAAUAGAAUCUUCUUGCUCUUCAGCACACAUCAUAUACAGAGAGAAUAGAGAGAUUGGUGAUAUUAGACUAGACCGGACACAAUGAAUAAUGAGAGAGAGAGAGAGAGAGAGAGAGAGUGGUGAUGGCAUGGAUGGAUGAUUUCAGUAGUGAUGGUGUGGUGGUGGGCUCGGUGAAGAAGGAUCAUAUAUGCCUGAGUUUCCUGACAUUUAACUUGUGAAUUAUUCAGCUUUGUUUGUUUUUCGAGAUCUCCAUACUCUGUGGACCCUUGGCUGUCUAGCUAGGUUUACCCACGAAUCCACAUUUUUCACUUCGAGCUGUUAAUCUAAGCUAGCUAAUCCACUGUUGGUGAACCUUUCUGUACCAAUUCUCAAUCAGUACAAAUAACUGUGAUUCUAAAUCUACUUAAUUAGGAGUACUGAGAUUAAUUGGUUUGUUUGAGCUGAGGAUAUCUACAAUGUACAUGGGUGGGGGUAGUUUGUAUAUUCCCUAAAGAUGUAUGGCCAAGAAAUAAUAAUUCCCAAAAAUAUGCAUGUAACAUGAACAAGGGUACUGUGGGGAGGUAAUAAAUAUAAGCUGUGCAGAGGAAGAAAACAAAGCAAGAAUCACGAGAAUGGUAACCUACAGAGAGAAGAGAACGUACCCCAUCAAAAAUAAAAGGGACUACAAGCCCCUGCAUGUUGCUACCCUACUGUUUCCAUGUCAGCCGCUGAAACGGUGCAGAACUCCUGCGCUGCUUUCUCUCUCUCAGCUGCAGCUGCAGGGUUAGGUUCCGUGUGUUUUUGUUUUUGGCUACCCAGCUCUGGGAAUUUUAAAGAAAGAAAAAGGCAAACAAUGUGUAAGAACUUAGAAGGUGUGUGUCUCAGUGCCCUGAUCUGUGUUUUUAUCUUCUUCGAUCUUAUUAUGCUGGCUAGCAAGCUUAGCUGGUUAUCAAAGGAACCAUUUCCCAUUUUAAUUGAAUAUCGGGACUUGAAGCUACCGGACAUUUCUUCGUGUUAUUUUCUAUAUUAAUUCCCUUUAAUUUCUUUUAAACCCUAAAACCUUCUGCACUGUGCAAGUCUGACAUGCAUAUAUAUAAAUACAGAGAUAUUUCGUGAGGCGAUUCCCAGUUCUUGUAUAUUGUUUCUCCUUUUCGAUACUUAAAAUGCUCUUGUAUCAAAUUGAGUUUUUCUUUGAGUUUAUGCUUGGCUGCUUGCCCAAAAGGGAGAGGGUCAGAAAUGCCAUUCAAAUACAUGUAUGUGUCUCUCCUUUUGUAACAGUGAUCAGGCAUAUCUUUUCUAGUUCUAUCAAGGCUAAAAUGUAUUAUUAUUCCAAGCUAAUAAUAUAAACUGGUUUACCCAAAACUGUUUAUCCAGAUCAAUUUGAAGUGGGGAGGGAGAUGGUGGCAGAAGUGAAAAGAAAUGGGACAUUUCAUGUGUCUUAACUUUUGAUUUUACAAUAAUGAGAGAAUAUAUGAUGGGCAAUGAUCAAAAUAAUUAGUCGAGGAUCUAUAUGAUAUAAUUAUUCAUCAUUUUCCUAUUGUUUUCACUUUGUUCCUGGAUGAGAUAGAACACCUGAUUGUUGUGUCCCUACUCCUCGACCCCUCCGUUACACUAUCCUUAAUUUCUUGCCGUCAGUCCGGCCUUCUACUUUAAUCACAAAUUAAAUUCCUUAUUUCCUUAAUUACUUCUAUAGGGGAUUCCUCGGUGCCCAGUACUCAAUUACAGUGACUUCCAUGCAAUCUAAUCCAGCUAGUUCAGAAUAUCAGAUAUGUCACAUUCAAUUUUGACACUUCAAGUUAACGUAAAACACCAUUUUUGAAAAGGAGUUUAUAAUACUCGUUGUUAUCACAUACUAGGACUUGGAGACUCUAAAAUAAAUUGUAACCUAAAACCCGGCCUAAUGAUCGAGAUUAUCAUGGUUCCUAUGGAAGAAUGUUUUUUUUUUUUGAACUUCCUAUGGAAGAAUGUUCUUUGGGCCAUUACAGAGACGGAAGAGGAGGAAAUGAAAGAAAUGUGUAAUAUCUAGAUUUUUGUUUUUUUUCAUUUGGAAANNNNNNNNNNNNNNNNNNNNGAGAGAGAGAGAACAGAUCGAGCAGGCUAAAGGGCCAAAGGUGAGGGUGGUGCAUGGUGUUGUAAGUUAGUGAGUAAAGCUUGUAGCGGUCAGAGAAAGAGAGAAGAGCACUGUCUAGGUCGACUAACCCUUAUGCUAAAUCAUUCAUAUUGAAAUUUGGAACAUUAUGGGGAAAAACUGGAAAAAGAAAGAAGAAGAAGAAGAGAAGCUAGGAAAGGCAGAAAGAGAAAGAAAUGGAAGAAAGAGUAAUAUAAGAAGCAGAAGAGAAGAGAAGGAAGAAAUGUCGUCAUGAAUGAGAAGAAUACAAUACACAGGCUUUCAAUCCCAUCACGUAGUUCGAUGUAUCCUUUACCUUAUAUCUGCUAGAGAGCUGUAUGUGUUAGUAGCAGUCGUAAUAGAAAACUAGAAACCAGAAAGAGAAAAGAGGAAGAAAAUGAUGGGGUUAGAAAUUGGAAACUGUGUUUGGUUUGCAGAGUAGCAUAUUAAAACAAACAAAGGAAACCUACAAAUUGAAAAGAGAACACUCGGUUUGACGUGAGAGACAUCCCCAAUUACCUUUCCUUUUCCUUUCUUCCCAUCUUUUUUACUCUUUUACAUUACCCCAGUAUUACUAUAGUUUAUACUCCAUUGACCCAAAAUACCCUUCUUCUUCAAGAUUCUCUACAAUUAACGAUGCAUCUGUGUUUAAUUAAGGGGAGUUGAGCACUCGAGUCUAAACCCUCCAUCUUUAUAGUUUAUAACACCUAGGUUUACAUGUAGGUAGCUUGGUUAGUAUACAAGAAUUAUUGUCGUAAUCUUGCUUAGAAAUCUGUAUACGAGCUCUAGUUGCAUUUAUGGCAUUAGGGAAUGUUCAUUUCUACUGUCAUCCAAAUAUACGUACAAUAUCGAAAAAGAAAAUGUAGAUCAUGCAAAACAACAUAAAUAUGGUACGAUCCGAAUGUUAUAAUUAAGGUAACCAAUCGGAUCGACAUUAAAAAUGUGUUCGAAAUAAGUUUUGUAUUUAAAAUACUCCGGUUCAAAUUGAAAGGGUUAUCAAUACUCAUACGAUAACUAAAGAGUCUUUAUAGUUAGUUACAUGUAGUUUCUCUUAUUUCAUAAAACGUUUAGAUAUUGUAGUGUCAUACACAGUGAUCAUCCAAUUUUAGAAAUCCAUUGUACGUGAAAACCCCAUACAUCAUUUUGGAGAAACAAAGACACAUACGGAAAAGGAGAAUCCCAACCCAAGAGAUGCAAUCAAAGAAACAAAAGGAUAAGAUCGAGGGUAAAUCAAACCCUAGUUUUGGGAAGGGGGGUAAAGAAAUGAAGGAAAUGGUAAAUUUGAAAAGACAAAGGGCACAGCACACUGCUCUUCCCCUGUGCGUGAUUUUUAAGUGGGUGUGCGCGGGAUCAAAAUUGUCAGUACUGGUGUACAAAAACAAUGAAAGAAAGAGAGAGAGAGAGGAAGGGGUCACGGGUUUGUCUUGAAAGGCCCUUAUUUCACACUCCCAGACUCAGACACAUAUUCUUUCUCUUUUUCCUCCUCUCUCGCAAGAAGAGAGAAAUCGAUCAUUUCCAAAUAUUUAAACCCCCCAAAACCCAACCAAAAAACAAAAACAAAUACCACAUUACCACCACAACUCUCCUUUUAUCCUACUCCAUUUUUAUCCCUCCCAUCUCUCUCACUCCUCUCUUCUUAAAACCCUCUCCUUCCUCUCAGAUCUCUCUCUCCCUCUCUCUAUCUCUUCCUGCUUCUCUAAUGGCUUUGAUGAUAGACAACUGCGGCGAAGGCAUACUCCUCUCUCUCGACUCCCACAAAUCUGUCCCGGCUCCGUUUCUCACCAAAACGUACCAGCUCGUCGACGAUCCCGUCACCGACCACAUCGUCUCUUGGGGCGAAGACGACACCACCUUCGUCGUCUGGCGUCCUCCGGAGUUCGCCCGCGACCUCCUCCCCAACUACUUCAAGCACAACAACUUCUCCAGCUUCGUCCGCCAGCUCAACACCUAUGUAUGCAUCUAACGAAUGUGUUUUUUUGUAUCUAUCGUUUUCGUUUCUGUUUUUGAGCUUUGCACUGAGACUGUUGUUCGGUCAUGUUAGGGUUUCAGAAAGAUCGUGCCGGACAGGUGGGAGUUCGCCAACGAGUUUUUCAAGAAAGGUGAGAAGCAUUUGCUCUGCGAGAUCCACCGCCGCAAGACGGCUCAGCCGACACAGCUCCCCAUCAACCACCAUCAGUACCACCCGCAUUCGCCGCUCGGCAGCCACCACGUCGUCACCGGUCCCGGAUUCUUCCCCUUCCCACGUGGCAGCAACUCGCCUUCCGACUCCGACGACUUUCCCAACUGGUGUGACGACUCGCCGCCGCCACUCGUGUCAUCUCCACCUUCCGGCUGCGGUGGUGGUCCCCUCAACACUGGCUACUGCAGUAACGUUGCGACCACUACCACCGUGACAGCUCUGUCGGAGGACAACGAGAGGCUGAGGCGGAGCAACACCAUGCUGAUGUCGGAGCUCAACCAUAUGAGGAAGCUUUACAACGAUAUCAUCUACUUCGUUCAGAACCAUGUCAAGCCUGUCGCUCCCAGCAAUUCUUACCCAGGUUCUCUACUUCUCUGCAACCCAACACAAAACACACUCAACCCCAACAACUCAUCCGCCGCCAUCCACAAGCCUCUCAACCAGGUUUUUGGGUACCACAAUAACCCUAAGCAAACCCAACCACAUCAUCAGCCAAUGGCCCAUGUCAUGAUGAACAACAACGUUAACGUCUCGUCUCCGACCACCGCCAAGAGUACUAGCUCGGUGACGAUUAUCGAAGACCGGCCCGGCAACAACAAUGGGUGCAAGACCAAACUGUUUGGGGUUCCACUGCUGCAUUCGAAGAAGAGACUGCACCCGGAGUACAACAACGGCUCGAACCACACAGCCAUGGAAGCAACUAAAGCUCGCUUGAUUUUGGAGAAGGAUCAUGAUUUAGGUCUUCACCUUAUGCCCCCAUCCACAUGUUAGUCAGCUACUUAAAUUUAGAAAGGUGUCGUCUUUUUCUCCAAAACCCAUCAAUCAAAAUUAAACUACGUACUUAGCUAGCUAGCUUUAAAGGUUUCAUCUUUUUGGUCCUAGUCUUUUUUGUUUGCUUGUAUUCUGGAUCUGAUCAUGAGAUAUGUGUGGGUGUUUGUGAUGUCUGUAUAUAUAUGACUUUUAGUGCCGGUAAUUUCCCACCGCUAUGAAUGCAGGUGUGGGUUUUGGGUAGAGUGAUCGAUGAAAUAUUAUGCAAGAUCUUAUCUUGAAUUUCGGUUGAAGUUUUAGUUUCAUAAAUUCAUAGCUUUUGUUGGAUUUUCAGUGAGGCUAUUAAUUGCUCUCGAUUUUUGAAUCUAUUACUUUCUUCUUCGAUCUUCUUCUCCUUCCUGAACCCUGCAGGCCUUCAGUUUCUCUGAAUGUAAUGCCUGAUCGAGUAUGUUUCAGUUGCAUUAAUGCCUGCCUGAGAAGACAGACAGGGGUGUUUGUGACAAUUUGCAGUCUGGUCCAUUUCCAAUUUUCUCUAGGCCUUUCUCUGAUAAUGAGUUCUAUUAUUGGGUUCAUAACUUCAUACAUUCAUACGUACAACUCUCUCUGACCCUGCUGGGACUAAAACCCAAAAUAUAAA
RNAcentral lists this long non-coding RNA (22632 nucleotides) under Fragaria vesca (wild strawberry). Its description in RNAcentral is "long non-coding RNA (FVES_LNC000834)". Lineage: Eukaryota; Viridiplantae; Streptophyta; Magnoliopsida; Rosales; Rosaceae. The record is from RNAcentral.